RNAcentral lists this ribosomal RNA (358 nucleotides) under uncultured bacterium. RNAcentral describes it as "bacterial SSU rRNA". It matches the Rfam family "Bacterial small subunit ribosomal RNA", at positions 29 to 416 of the family's 1533-position model. The record is from RNAcentral.
AACGAACGCUGGCGGCAGGCUUAACACAUGCAAGUCGAACGCCCCGCAAGGGGAGUGGCAGACGGGUGAGUAACGCGUGGGAACGUGCCCUUCGCUUCGGAAUAGCCCCGGGAAACUGGGAGUAAUACCGGAUACGCCGUAUUGGGAAAGAUUUAUCGGCGAAGGAUCGGCCCGCGUUAGAUUAGCUAGUUGGCGGUGUAAUGGACCACCAAGGCUACGAUCUAUAGCUGGUCUGAGAGGAUGAUCAGCCACACUGGGACUGAGACACGGCCCAGACUCCUACGGGAGGCAGCAGUGGGGAAUCUUGGACAAGUGGGCGAAAGCCUGAUCCAGCCAUGCCGCGUGAGUGAAGAAGGCC